Molecule: ribosomal RNA, 247 nt
Filed under: uncultured bacterium
Lineage: Bacteria
Description: partial 16S ribosomal RNA
Rfam family: Bacterial small subunit ribosomal RNA
Source: RNAcentral
AAGUCGAACGGGCACUUCGGUGUCAGUGGCAGACGGGUGAGUAACACGUGGGAACGUACCCUUCGGUUCGGAAUAACUCUGGGAAACUAGAGCUAAUACCGGAUACGCCCUUUUGGGGAAAGGUUUACUGCCGAAGGAUCGGCCCGCGUCUGAUUAGCUAGUUGGUGGGGUAAUGGCCUACCAAGGCGACGAUCAGUAGCUGGUCUGAGAGGAUGAUCAGCCACAUUGGGACUGAGACACGGCCCAA